UGUGUGCGAGGUUCACAAAGAAAUGACUCGGGUGGAUCCAUCUUUCUAUUUAAGAUGUGUCCUAACUACAAAACUUUACUUUCGCUAUAUACAUGUAGGUUUCUGCAAUAACUUGCAAAAAACAAAAAGUCAAACUAUACAUACUAAAUAUUUGUAAACUGGUAAACCAAACAAUCAUGAUUUAGAAAUAUUGAAAGCCAACAUUAGCGUAAACUUAUA
Molecule: long non-coding RNA, 219 nt
Filed under: Mytilus galloprovincialis (Mediterranean mussel)
Lineage: Eukaryota; Metazoa; Mollusca; Bivalvia; Mytilida; Mytilidae
Source: RNAcentral